Bacteroidetes bacterium GWF2_35_48 is the source of this 69-nucleotide non-coding RNA. The record is from Rfam. NCBI's taxonomy places the organism in Bacteria, Pseudomonadati, Bacteroidota.
AAAAAGUGGAGUCCAUAAUCCACAAUAAAAAACGGGGCGUCACUGAAAAGCCAUAAGAGUAAGAAAAAU